This 484-nucleotide ribosomal RNA is filed under the name uncultured bacterium. RNAcentral's name for it is "partial 16S ribosomal RNA". It matches the Rfam family "Bacterial small subunit ribosomal RNA", at positions 28 to 507 of the family's 1533-position model. The record is from RNAcentral.
AUUGAACGCUGGCGGCAUGCUUUACACAUGCAAGUCGAACGGCAGCGCGGGCUUCGGCCUGGCGGCGAGUGGCGAACGGGUGAGUAAUGCAUCGGAACGUGCCCAGUAGUGGGGGAUAGCCCGGCGAAAGCCGGAUUAAUACCGCAUACGACCUGAGGGUGAAAGCGGGGGACCGAAAGGCCUCGCGCUAUUGGAGCGGCCGAUGUCGGAUUAGCUAGUUGGUGGGGUAAAGGCUUACCAAGGCGACGAUCCGUAGCUGGUCUGAGAGGACGACCAGCCACACUGGGACUGAGACACGGCCCAGACUCCUACGGGAGGCAGCAGUGGGGAGUUUUGGACAAUGGGGGCAACCCUGAUCCAGCCAUGCCGCGUGCGGGAAGAAGGCCUUCGGGUUGUAAACCGCUUUUGUUCGGGAAGAAAUCCUCUGGGCUAAUACCCCGGGGGGAUGACGGUACCGGAAGAAUAAGCACCGGCUAACUACGUG